UAGGGAGCGAGCGUUAUCCGGAUUUAUUGGGUGUAAAGGGUGCGUAGACGGGUCUUCAAGUUAGUUGUGAAAUCCCUCGGCUCAACUGAGGAACUGCAGCUAAAACUAUAGAUCUUGAGUGCAGGAGAGGUAAGUGGAAUUCCUAGUGUAGCGGUGAAAUGCGUAGAUAUUAGGAGGAACACCAGUGGCGAAGGCGACUUACUGGACUGCAACUGACGUUGAGGCACGAAAGUGUGGGGAGCAAA
RNAcentral lists this ribosomal RNA (245 nucleotides) under uncultured bacterium. RNAcentral's name for it is "partial 16S ribosomal RNA". It matches the Rfam family "Bacterial small subunit ribosomal RNA", at positions 528 to 772 of the family's 1533-position model. The record is from RNAcentral.